GGGCAUUUUAUGCUCUGUAAUUGGAAUGAUGGGAAUGUAAAACCCUUCCAGAGUAACAAUUGGAGGGCAAGUCUGGUGCCAGCAGCCGCGGUAAUUCCAGCUCCAAUAGUGUAUAUUAGAGUUGUUGCAGUUAAAAAGCUCGUAGUUGGAUUUCUGCUGUGGUCAUCCGGUACCGCCCGUAUGGGUGCGCACCUGGUUUGGCUCCGGCUUUCUUCCUGUAGCCGUCCGCGCUUAAUUGCGUGUACUGUGUUACGGAACUUUUACUUUGAGAAAAAUAGAGUGUUUCAAGCAGGCUUGUCGCCCUGAAUACUUCAGCAUGGAAUAAUAGGAUAGGACCUUGGUUCUAUUUUGUUGGUUUCUAGGACCAAGGUAAUGAUUAAUAGGGACAUUGGG
This 393-nucleotide ribosomal RNA is filed under the name Eimeria arloingi. RNAcentral describes it as "SSU rRNA". It matches the Rfam family "Eukaryotic small subunit ribosomal RNA", at positions 488 to 885 of the family's 1831-position model. The record is from RNAcentral. Lineage: Eukaryota; Apicomplexa; Conoidasida; Eucoccidiorida; Eimeriidae.